Molecule: long non-coding RNA, 2000 nt
Filed under: Marmota monax (woodchuck)
Lineage: Eukaryota; Metazoa; Chordata; Mammalia; Rodentia; Sciuridae
Rfam family: tRNA (bases 792-864)
Source: RNAcentral
UGCCUUCAUUAGUUUGCUAGGAGGUGUUGUCAAUUUAUUUUGAGCUGAAUCACCGAUCCCUCACAGAAUUAUAAUACAGUAGAGUUGGAAGUGACCUUUGUAGACUUUUCUUCUAACCUCCUACCUGGCAGAGAAAUCUCUCCUACCUUCUCCAUGUUUAGAGGGUCAUACAAUAUGGCCUUAGGUACUUCUGAUAACAGGGAAUUCACUAACUUGUGAAACAGGAUAUUUUAUUUAUAGUCUGUUCUAUUCCUUAGGAAGAUCUCUUUGUAUAACCAGGACUCCUUAGAAUUUUCAUCUCACUUGGUUCCCAUUCUGAUUGGCAACUUCACAGGACAAACCUACUCCUUUUUUUGUUUUCCCAGCUGGCCAGCUACUUUGUUGUUUUUUUUUUUUUAAUUGAUUCUCUGUUUUUCAUCCCAUAUUCAGAUUUUCAUUGGAAAACUGGGCACUGAUGCCUCUGGAAAGUAAUCUUGAAGAGUCUGUGGUAAAAGGAGUGAGGAAGAAAAAAAUAUCUACAUCUUUUAAACAGUGUUAUAGUAAACGUAGAUGAAUGGCCCAGUUUCCUUGAACUAAGCCACUCUCUCAAAGUUUCCAUCACCUCCCAAUAGCACCAUCAGUUGAGGAGUUUGGGGGAAACAUUUAAAAUCUAAACCAUAACAUGAGGGUUACUAUUUUGAUUGAAACCCAGGUGUGUAUUUUAAUUAUAUACUAAUUAGAACUGGUAUGUUUGUAAUGCAGGUUGGCUGGGCUAAUUAGAUCUAUGAAUCAAAACUAGAUAUUCAGGGGUUAGAGAUAUGGCUCAGUUGGUAGAGUGCUUGCCUUGCAUGCACAAGUCCCUGGGUUCAAUCCCCAGCACCACAAAAAAAUAGAUAUUCAGAAAUAGGUUUAAAUAAAUUCCUACUCCCAGUUCUUAGCUGUAUGUUCAGCUGCCUCCACAGGAGAGUGAAGUCUGAAGUGGCGUGGGGUGGGGGUGCUAUGCAGGGUAGGAGAACAGAAAUCUUUAGGUCAUUCUUCAGGCUCAUACUCCUCCCAAUCUUGCAGAUACUGGAGCUUCUUUUGGCAUCAGUAAGAGCUUAGGAUAGCCUGAAAUAUUCAUAUGUUCAAUUUCCAUAUCUAUAUUUGUGAAGAAAUUAGAGACCAGGGAGAGUAGGAACUGUUAGGCACUGAGUUCACUUUCAUGAAAUGUUGGACCUAGAGACAGAAGGUCUCAUGGUUACUGCUCAGGCCUUUCUCCUGGAAGUCAUCAGACCUUUCUCCACACCACAACAUUGGCUUCAUAUAAAAACAAGUCUCUGAGGCCCACACAUUUUUUCAUUAUAUCAUGGACUACCUGCCCCAACCUGCCUUGGUCUUUGCCUGCCAACUUAUUCUUGAUCUUCCCAGUUUCUGACCUUAUAACCUAUCAUUGCCAGUAAAGCUUCAACACUCAAUUUUAGCACUGCUCCCUCAACUCUGGCCUUUAUAUUACAGACUCACCAAUGAUUUGAAUUCUCUCUUGGAUUACUCAUCAUUGGCUUUUAAACACAAGAGGAAGCUAUUGGUAGUGAAGGUCAUCUUUGAAAUGAAAAGGCAAGACCUCAUGAGAUCAUGAAGUAAAUAUUACUAAAAGCCUCUGGGAACCUACAGAUAAAAUGGGAUCUGUUCUUCUGGAGUUGAUUUCAAAACUACGUAGACAAGAUCAUAACCUACCAGUACAGAUAGUUUUUCUUCUUCCUUUAAAAUCUGGAUUCAUUUUUUUCUCUUUUUUUCUUGUCUAAUUGCCCUAGCUGGAAUCACCAACACAAUGUUGACUAGAAGUGACAACACCAGACCAUUUUUUUCUUGUUCCAGAUCUUAUAGGGGAAGCAUUUAGUCUUUAAGUAUGCUGUUUUUAUCAUGGCAGUAUACUGAAUUUUGUCAAAGCUUUUAUGGGACCACUGAGAAGAUCAUGCUUUUUUGUCCAUUAUUUAGUUAAUGUAUUAUAUUACAUGUAUUGAUUUUUGUAUAUUUAAUCAACA